CAGAUGGAAGCCCGCUGGGUUGGGUGUUUAGUUGUUAGUUAAUUUUUUGUGGGAUCGAGGCCCACCCAUCUG
This 72-nucleotide transfer RNA is filed under the name Enyalioides palpebralis. RNAcentral's name for it is "tRNA-Asn". Lineage: Eukaryota; Metazoa; Chordata; Lepidosauria; Squamata; Hoplocercidae. The record is from RNAcentral.